GGAGGAGGUAAGAAUAUGGUUGCUGUCUGUCACCCCAUUAACCAGCAGGGUUCAUCUGGCUGAUUUGACGAGCUAGGCAGUUGCCCUCUUCCUCUGUCACACACUGUAUGUGUGUCCCUAAUAUAGCAGACUGUUCUUCAGCCAAUGUUAUUUGAAUAGCUGUCUUCCCUGAUAGACCCUUGAACAAGCUCUUACAUGGAAGUAAAUAGAUAGCAAAUAUAAUAUGAAGAGACAGACAGUAAAGUAGGCAGGGACCUAUAAAUGUGGCUGUCUUCUAUUAGCAGUUCACCACUCUUU
Molecule: small nuclear RNA, 297 nt
Filed under: Microtus ochrogaster (prairie vole)
Lineage: Eukaryota; Metazoa; Chordata; Mammalia; Rodentia; Cricetidae
Description: 7SK RNA (ENSMOCG00000009511.1)
Rfam family: 7SK RNA
About the family: 7SK was discovered as an abundant small nuclear RNA in the mid-70s but a possible function has only recently been suggested. Two independent studies have found that 7SK RNA binds the CDK9/cyclin T complex (known as elongation factor P-TEFb).
Source: RNAcentral